GGGCACUACUUUUCACCAGAGAUCAAUGGGUAGGGCACUACUUUUCACCAGAGAUCAAUGGGUAGGGCACUACUUUUCACCAGAGAUCAAUGGGUAGGACACUACUUUUCACCAGAGAUCAAUGGGUAGGGCACUACUUUUCACCAGAGACCAAUGGGUAGGGCACUACUUUUCACCAGAGACCAAUGGGUAGUGCACUACUUUUCACCAGAGACCAAUGGGUAGGGCACUACUUUUCACCAGAGACCAAUGGGUAGUGCACUACUUUUCACCAGAGACCAAUGGGUAGGGCACUACUUUUCACCAGAGACCAAUGGGUAGGGCACUACUUUUCACCAGAGACCAAUGGGUAGUGCACUACUUUUCACCAGAGACCAAUGGGUAGGGUACUACUUUUCACCAGAGACCAAUGGGUAGGGCACUACUUUUCACCAGAGACCAAUGGGUAGUGCACUACUUUUCACCAGAGACCAAUGGGUAGGGCACUACUUUUCACCAGAGACCAAUGGGUAGUGCACUACUUUUCACCAGAGACCAAUGGGUAGGGCACUACUUUUCACCAGAGACCAAUGGGUAGGGCACUACUUUUCACCAGAGACCAAUGGGUAGUGCACUAUAUAGCAAAUUGGGUGCAGUUUAGGAUGUGUACUUUGUCCUUUUCACACUUCAUCUAUAAGAAAUAAGACCACAAAACAUUUCUACUAGGAUGUAAACAUAUACAUCAAUCUCCAAUGUUAAAACAAGCUGUUAAAAUAACGCCACACAUUGUUUAAGUUGCACAAACGUCAGUGAAGAUGAAGAGGUGAUAGAGAGAGUAGAGACCACAGAUAACAGAGAGGUGAUAGAGAGAGUAGAGACCACAGAUAACAGAGAGGUGAUAGAGAGAGUAGAGACCACAGAUAACAGAGACGUGAUAGAGAGAGUAGAGACCACAGAUAACAGAGAGGUGAUAGAGAGAGUAGAGACCACAGAUAACAGAGCAUCCCUGUGUCCAGUCCACAGUAUAUACCAAGGCCAGAGAGCUACCGUCUUGUAGGUUUCAUUGCCAACCCUAAUCUAGAACACCUGAUUCUAAUAAUGAGCUGGUUGAUAAGCUGAUAAACUGAAUCAGGUUAGUUACAACUGGGGACGGUAGCCCUCCAGGAACAGCGUUGGAGAACCCUGGUGGACCCAGUAAUGUUCCUCCAGGAACAGCAUUGGAGAACCCUGGUGGACCCAGUAACGUUCCUCCAGGAACAGCAUUGGAGAACCCUGGUGGACCCAGUAAUGUUCCUCCAAGAACAGCAUUGGAGAACCCUGGUGGACCCAGUAAAGUUCCUCCAGGAACAGCAUUGGAGAACCCUGGUGGACCCAGUAACGUUCCUCCAGGAACAGCAUUGGAGAACCCUAGUGGACCCAGUAACGUUCCUCCAGGAACAGCAUUGGAGAACCCUGGUGGACCCAGUAACGUUCCUCCAAGAACAGCAUUGGAGAACCCUGGUGGACCCAGCAACACUCCUCCAGGAACAGCAUUGGAGAACCCUGGUGGACCCAGUAAUGUUCCUCCAGGAACAGCAUUGGAGAACCCUGGUGGACCCAGUAAUGUUCCUCCAGGAACAGCAUUGGAGAACCCUGGUGGACCCAGCAACACUCCUCCAGGUUCUUUUUCCUAACGAGCACGAUUCAUCUGAACCAAUCACAAUCCUGAUGAUUGGUAGAAUGAAGUGUGAAUCAGCCAAUCAAGGUCCUGAUGAGCAGCAGCUGAUUAGGUAAAAUCAGGUGUGUUAGCACAGGUCUAGAGAAAAAGCCUGCACCGCAUGCUCUCCAGGAAGCAGACUAGUCACACCGCAGUAGACAGGACCAAUUAGCAGCUAGUGGCCACAAAGAGCUGAUUGGACAAGGAAGAUGGGGCGGGGCGACUGUGGAUGAGACCAGCUCAUUCCGCCCCCUACUUAAGGCCAAAACCAGCUAGUGUUACUAUCAACGAGGAGGAGGAAGAGAAGGAGGAGGACAAAGAUGAGGGAGAAGGAGGAAGAGGAAGGGGGAGGAGACUGACGGUUCUGUCUGUCUCUCUAUCUAUCUGGACUCUGAGCCGAACGGAGCCGAGCAGAACCGAAAAAAUGAUGAGACGCGCAUCAUCUGUCAGUUUGGAUUAAACUCAGUCUAAUCGCUGUGAAAUGACCGAGGAGAAAGAAGACGUCAUUGCUGUCACUGACACUGAAACUAACUCGGCCUGCGAGUCAGUCAGAGAUGACAAUGGGGACUAAGGAGCUUUCAACCUGGGCUGGCGCACAGUGCCCUACUUGCCACUUUAAGGACCUUUCAACCAGGGCUGGUGCACAGUGCCCUACUGCCUCUUUAAGGAACUUUCAACCAGGGCUGGAGCACAGUGCCCUACUGCCUCUUUAAGGAACUUUCAACCAGGGCUGGAGCACAGUGCCCUACUGCCUCUUUAAGGAACUUUCAACCAAGGCUGGAGCACAGUGCCCUACUGCCUCUUUAAGGAACUUUCAACCAGGGCUGGAGCACAGUGCCCUACUUGCCACUUUAAGGAACUUUCAACCAGGGCUGGUGCACAGUGCCCUACUGCCUCUUUAAGGAACUUUCAACCAGGGCUGGAGCACAGUGCCCUACUGCCUCUUUAAGGAACUUUCAACCAGGGCUGGAGCAC
Molecule: long non-coding RNA, 2650 nt
Organism: Oncorhynchus tshawytscha (Chinook salmon)
Lineage: Eukaryota; Metazoa; Chordata; Actinopteri; Salmoniformes; Salmonidae
Source: Ensembl